Molecule: ribosomal RNA, 253 nt
Filed under: uncultured bacterium
Lineage: Bacteria
Description: partial 16S ribosomal RNA
Rfam family: Bacterial small subunit ribosomal RNA
Source: RNAcentral
UACGUAGGGUGCAAGCGUUAAUCGGAAUUACUGGGCGUAAAGCGUGCGCAGGCGGUGAUGUAAGACAGGUGUGAAAUCCCCGGGCUUAACCUGGGAACUGCAUUUGUGACUGCAUCGCUGGAGUGCGGCAGAGGGGGAUGGAAUUCCGCGUGUAGCAGUGAAAUGCGUAGAUAUGCGGAGGAACACCGAUGGCGAAGGCGGUUGCCUGGGGCUUUGCUGACGCUGAGGCGCGAAAGCGUGGGGAGCGAUCCGG